Molecule: ribosomal RNA, 582 nt
Filed under: uncultured fungus
Lineage: Eukaryota; Fungi
Description: SSU rRNA
Rfam family: Eukaryotic small subunit ribosomal RNA
Source: RNAcentral
AAACUGCGAAUGGCUCAUUAAAUCAGUUAUCGUUUAUUUGAUAGUACCUUACUACAUGGAUACCUGUGGUAAUUCUAGAGCUAAUACAUGCUAAAAACCCCGACUUCAGGAAGGGGUGUAUUUAUUAGAUAAAAAACCAACGCCCUUCGGGGCUCCCUGGUGAAUCAUAAUAACUUAACGAAUCGCAUGGCCUUGCGCCGGCGAUGGUUCAUUCAAAUUUCUGCCCUAUCAACUUUCGAUGGUAGGAUAGUGGCCUACCAUGGUGGCAACGGGUAACGGGGAAUUAGGGUUCGAUUCCGGAGAGGGAGCCUGAGAAACGGCUACCACAUCCAAGGAAGGCAGCAGGCGCGCAAAUUACCCAAUCCCGAUACGGGGAGGUAGUGACAAUAAAUACUGAUACGGGGCUCUUUUGGGUCUCGUAAUUGGAAUGAGAACAAUUUAAAUCCCUUAACGAGGAACAAUUGGAGGGCAAGUCUGGUGCCAGCAGCCGCGGUAAUUCCAGCUCCAAUAGCGUAUAUUAAAGUUGUUGCAGUUAAAAAGCUCGUAGUUGAACCUUGGGUCUGGCUGGCCGGUCCGCCUCAC